UGAAAAAUUAGCGGAUGACUUGUGGCUGGGGGUGAAAGGCCAAUCAAACCGGGAGAUAGCUGGUUCUCCCCGAAAGCUAUUUAGGUAGCGCCUCGUGAAUUCAUCUCCGGGGGUAGAGCACUGUUUCGGCAAGGGGGUCAUCCCGACUUACCAACCCGAUGCAAACUGCGAAUACCGGAGAAUGUUAUCACGGGAGACACACGGCGGGUGCUAACGUCCGUCGUGAAGAGGGAAACAACCCAGACCGCCAGCUAAGGUCCCAAAGUCAUGGUUAAGUGGGAAACGAUGUGGGAAGGCCCAGACAGCCAGGAUGUUGGCUUAGAAGCAGCCAUCAUUUAAAGAAAGCGUAAUAGCUCACUGGUCGAGUCGGCCUGCGCGGAAGAUGUAACGGGGCUAAACCAUGCACCGAAGCUGCGGCAGCGACGCUUAUGCGUUGUUGGGUAGGGGAGCGUUCUGUAAGCCUGCGAAGGUGUGCUGUGAGGCAUGCUGGAGGUAUCAGAAGUGCGAAUGCUGACAUAAGUAACGAUAAAGCGGGUGAAAAGCCCGCUCGCCGGAAGACCAAGGGUUCCUGUCCAACGUUAAUCGGGGCAGGGUGAGUCGACCCCUAAGGCGAGGCCGAAAGGCGUAGUCGAUGGGAAACAGGUUAAUAUUCCUGUACUUGGUGUUACUGCGAAGGGGGGACGGAGAAGGCUAUGUUGGCCGGGCGACGGUUGUCCCGGUUUAAGCGUGUAGGCUGGUUUUCCAGGCAAAUCCGGAAAAUCAAGGCUGAGGCGUGAUGACGAGGCACUACGGUGCUGAAGCAACAAAUGCCCUGCUUCCAGGAAAAGCCUCUAAGCAUCAGGUAACAUCAAAUCGUACCCCAAACCGACACAGGUGGUCAGGUAGAGAAUACCAAGGCGCUUGAGAGAACUCGGGUGAAGGAACUAGGCAAAAUGGUGCCGUAACUUCGGGAGAAGGCACGCUGAUAUGUAGGUGAGGUCCCUCGCGGAUGGAGCUGAAAUCAGUCGAAGAUACCAGCUGGCUGCAACUGUUUAUUAAAAACACAGCACUGUGCAAACACGAAAGUGGACGUAUACGGUGUGACGCCUGCCCGGUGCCGGAAGGUUAAUUGAUGGGGUUAGCGCAAGCGAAGCUCUUGAUCGAAGCCCCGGUAAACGGCGGCCGUAACUAUAACGGUCCUAAGGUAGCGAAAUUCCUUGUCGGGUAAGUUCCGACCUGCACGAAUGGCGUAAUGAUGGCCAGGCUGUCUCCACCCGAGACUCAGUGAAAUUGAACUCGCUGUGAAGAUGCAGUGUACCCGCGGCAAGACGGAAAGACCCCGUGAACCUUUACUAUAGCUUGACACUGAACAUUGAGCCUUGAUGUGUAGGAUAGGUGGGAGGCUUUGAAGUGUGGACGCCAGUCUGCAUGGAGCCGACCUUGAAAUACCACCCUUUAAUGUUUGAUGUUCUAACGUUGACCCGUAAUCCGGGUUGCGGACAGUGUCUGGUGGGUAGUUUGACUGGGGCGGUCUCCUCCUAAAGAGUAACGGAGGAGCACGAAGGUUGGCUAAUCCUGGUCGGACAUCAGGAGGUUAGUGCAAUGGCAUAAGCCAGCUUGACUGCGAGCGUGACGGCGCGAGCAGGUGCGAAAGCAGGUCAUAGUGAUCCGGUGGUUCUGAAUGGAAGGGCCAUCGCUCAACGGAUAAAAGGUACUCCGGGGAUAACAGGCUGAUACCGCCCAAGAGUUCAUAUCGACGGCGGUGUUUGGCACCUCGAUGUCGGCUCAUCACAUCCUGGGGCUGAAGUAGGUCCCAAGGGUAUGGCUGUUCGCCAUUUAAAGUGGUACGCGAGCUGGGUUUAGAACGUCGUGAGACAGUUCGGUCCCUAUCUGCCGUGGGCGCUGGAGAACUGAGGGGGGCUGCUCCUAGUACGAGAGGACCGGAGUGGACGCAUCACUGGUGUUCGGGUUGUCAUGCCAAUGGCACUGCCCGGUAGCUAAAUGCGGAAGAGAUAAGUGCUGAAAGCAUCUAAGCACGAAACUUGCCCCGAGAUGAGUUCUCCCUGACUCCUUGA
Molecule: ribosomal RNA, 2054 nt
Filed under: soil metagenome
Description: bacterial LSU rRNA
Rfam family: Bacterial large subunit ribosomal RNA
Source: RNAcentral